CAAACUCUCAGUCAGGGCAGCUGGGAUUUAAUGUGACCAGUUUGUUGGAAAUUAGAGCUUCUGUUGGCAGCUACUGUUUCAGUGAGGAGUUACCGGUCUUGGUGAAGACUGUGGCUCCUGUUAGCAGCUGAAUAAUCUGGAAAAGCCUUGCCGGAGAAAGAACCAGACAUGAGUCAACUUUUCAUCUCUGUUAACCACCAACAUGCUGCAUUCAGGGACACGAGGAGUCAACCACUGUGCAGCCGCUGCAUUUCAAAUCUUUCAGUCACCAAGAAAAAGGCUACUGAGAAUCAUCUGGAGGAGGCUCAUGCCAGGUGGGUUUUCCAGCAGAGUCCUCCCCUACCUUGUCCUGCAUGGCUGUAAUGAGACACCCGGUUAGUAGAAAGAGAUUCAGCUGAGAGACAGAAGGCGCUCAGCAAUCUUCCACUGAGCCAAAG
Amphiprion ocellaris (clown anemonefish) is the source of this 437-nucleotide long non-coding RNA. The record is from Ensembl. Lineage: Eukaryota; Metazoa; Chordata; Actinopteri; Pomacentridae.